This is a long non-coding RNA of Gasterosteus aculeatus aculeatus (three-spined stickleback), 2232 nucleotides long. NCBI's taxonomy places the organism in Eukaryota, Metazoa, Chordata, Actinopteri, Perciformes, Gasterosteidae. The record is from Ensembl.
CCUGAUGAAGUCUCGCUCAGCGCUGUCCAAUCAGAUCGUGGAGCUACUACCGCAGCGUGAACAGGGGAGGACGCACCUAUUCCAGUUGCACAAUGCUGAGAAAGGACAGGCGAAAAACUGGACCACCAACGGGAAAUUGGCAAUCCGGGGGAGGCUGUCAAUGGGCUGCCAUGGUUCGACAAUACACAAACAGCGGGGGUUGUGGAUACAGGGGCUGCCAGGGCUCAAAGCGAGCGAGCGAUCCGCGUCGGCGUCCAACCAUGGGAGAGAGCUGUCGGCAAGGUGGCCCAGCUGGCAGUGCCCAGGGCUCCCAGGGGCCCGAGAGCGGCCUGACGUGGAGAGUCAAGGGGGCUGAAGGAUGACAGGGGACAGCUGGAGAAGAGGAAGACUCUAAGGACCAAAGUUGACGGCGAGAGAGCCAUGGAUCAGGAGUACGGUUCAGCGUCUUCUUUUCCGUCUGUACGAUCACGAAAAACCCUUUGGGACUCCCUGCAAGUUUGUUUUUGUUUUUUGUUUUGAGCUUCUUAUACAUCUCAUGUAAUGUCUAAAUAUCCAUGUCUACAGUAAUUUGUAAUAUUGAGUCCACAGUACUCACCGGUGCAGGAACCUUUUCCUUUUCAAUUAGUGCGAGCGGUCUAGUCAAUGACGCUUCCUAUGUCUUGUCCUCAUGCCGGUGGUUGCUGACUGACCGCGGGCCUGUCGGGCUUACUUCAGCGAUCCCUUUUACAUGUGCAUCCCUGCAAAUUAGGUUUUGAGGGUCUGGCAGGGGCCGGUGUAUGCAUGGAUAGAGGGCGGACUAGAGGACUGUGAGAGAGCUGUGGUCUGGCCGACCUGUCGCUGUUUCGGCUGCUUUCACUCCUGAGAUUAUCCAACAAGAUGGAUGCCAGUUGGCAUAUGAUGCAAUGUUUAAUUUUUCUGGUUUGAAUCAAAAUCCCCACUCGAUGGAUUCACAUAGUUUAAAGGCAUAUUUAGGGAAGGGUUCACGCACAGUCUAUGAUAUCAGUGAUCAUGAAAGGCUCACAGAUGGGUGUAUGGUAUCGUUGUGCAGGAGAUAAAGAUGGUGGCUGUGUGGUGCUUUCCACACAGUCCUCAUGUAGCAAAUGUGUGUGUCAGGCAUCAUCUGCUGUAGAUUAUUGUAGUAUUGGAAUGUCUCUCUGUUGAACCGGCCCCCACCAUUCUGACACCAUAUGUUACCCUUCUGAUAACUGUGAUGUAGUCUGUUUAUGACCUACCAUAUCUUUCAAUAACUCUUUUUGUUUUGUGAAGCCUUUUUUUUUCGUGGUUGGAACAACCCAUAGAUCAGUUUUUUAAAGAUCUACCUCCAAAGGCAUAUAACAAGAAGCCCUGAGUUGCAUACAGCGGCCUUUUUUUUGCAACCAAAGGUGUCAUUAGAGGUUGGAGCUCAACAGAAUGCUGAAGACAAACCGUCUAACCAAUCACUACGUUAUGUGUAUUAAGUGCAUUAAGUUGUAAGACAACAACGUGCGAAGGACCUCUCAAUUGCACGGCGUACUCUAAAUGGAAGCAUAUGAGAAAAGCGCUGCGUGGAAUUAGACUAGGAGAAGUAGGAUCAUUUUCUUCUGUACAAUAAGCCCCAUGCUGGCCAUUAGAAAGAAUGCAAGUUAAGGAACUUCAUCCUAGGCUUCCGAACCUGAGGUUUCCUCCUGCUUGUAGUAAGAUGAGCGCCACACAAAUAAUCCCGGUUUAUGCUCUGCUUGAUAUCAGUGUAUGUAAUAUCAGUGUAUAUAAUAUAAAACUCAAAAACGUCCUGUCUUCUUUCUCUCAUUUUUUAUUUAUUUCCCUCUUUACACUUCUGCCUCGCUCUUUCUCUCCCCCAUUCUUUCUACCUACACCCUAAAGCUAACCAACCUAAACCCUUCUUUUUGGCUCACCGGCUGGAAAUGCAGUUCUCAUUCCUAGAAUGCACACAGAAAUGUUCAACAAUCUGGCAUCAGCACUUCUUAAAAAGGCUUGCUGCCACCGCUGCUCCUUCAGCACAGCCAAUCCCCCCCCCCACCCCCCACAAAAAGAAAGUCCUGGACAGAGAAAGAAUGAUGAGAGUGGAAAGAACUAAAUCUGCUAAGUCCCCCAAACCCAGGAAUGUAUUUUCAUUAAAACAAGUUUGUUUGAAGGGAUUGGGAAGGUCGAUCAGACCCAAUAGCUCAACGUCUGUACUGGACUAAACGCAUUUGAGAAGCAGAGAAUGAGGAUACAUUACAUUACAUUAAUCUG